RNAcentral lists this ribosomal RNA (604 nucleotides) under uncultured Rhodocyclaceae bacterium. RNAcentral describes it as "bacterial SSU rRNA". It matches the Rfam family "Bacterial small subunit ribosomal RNA", at positions 1 to 595 of the family's 1533-position model. Lineage: Bacteria; Pseudomonadati; Pseudomonadota; Betaproteobacteria; Rhodocyclales; Rhodocyclaceae. The record is from RNAcentral.
GGAAUUUCGAUUAGAGUUUGAUUAUGGCUCAGAUUGAACGCUGGCGGCAUGCUUUACACAUGCAAGUCGAACGGUAACAGGGAGCUUGCUCCGCUGACGAGUGGCGAACGGGUGAGUAAUGCAUCGGAACGUACCCAGUCGUGGGGGAUAACGUAGCGAAAGUUACGCUAAUACCGCAUACGUCCUGAGGGAGAAAGCGGGGGACCGAAAGGCCUCGCGCGAUUGGAGCGGCCGAUGUCGGAUUAGCUAGUUGGUAGGGUAAAGGCCUACCAAGGCGACGAUCCGUAGCGGGUCUGAGAGGAUGAUCCGCCACACUGGGACUGAGACACGGCCCAGACUCCUACGGGAGGCAGCAGUGGGGAAUUUUGGACAAUGGGCGAAAGCCUGAUCCAGCCAUGCCGCGUGAGUGAAGAAGGCCUUCGGGUUGUAAAGCUCUUUCAGCCGGAAAGAAAUCGCACAGGCUAAUACUUUGUGUGGAUGACGGUACCGGAAGAAGAAGCACCGGCUAACUACGUGCCAGCAGCCGCGGUAAUACGUAGGGUGCGAGCGUUAAUCGGAAUUACUGGGCGUAAAGCGUGCGCAGGCGGUUAUGUAAGACAGAUGU